AAUGUUGAUAAUUCGGAUACUGAAAGU
This 27-nucleotide non-coding RNA is filed under the name Bombyx mori (domestic silkworm). Lineage: Eukaryota; Metazoa; Arthropoda; Insecta; Lepidoptera; Bombycidae. The record is from RNAcentral.